RNAcentral lists this ribosomal RNA (497 nucleotides) under uncultured bacterium. RNAcentral describes it as "partial 16S ribosomal RNA". It matches the Rfam family "Bacterial small subunit ribosomal RNA", at positions 28 to 507 of the family's 1533-position model. The record is from RNAcentral.
GAUGAACGCUGGCGGCGUGCCUAAUACAUGCAAGUCGAGCGAACGGACGAGAAGCUUGCUUUUUUGUUGUUAGCGGCGGACGGGUGAGUAACACGUGGAUAACCUACCUAUAAGACUGGGAUAACUUCGGGAAACCGGAGCUAAUACCGGAUAAUAUUUUGAACCGUGUGGUUCAAUAGUGAAAGACGGUCUUGGUGGAUGUUAUAGAUGGAUAUCCGCUGUUUUAGCUGGUUGGUAAGGUAAAGGCUUACCAAGGGGACUAUGCGUAGGCGACGUGUGAGGGUGGUCGGCCGCAUGGGAAGGGGGACGCGCUCAAUGCUCCUGCGGGAGGCAGCAGUAGGGAACCUGCCGCAGUGGGCGAAAACCUGGCGGAGCGGCGCCGCGUGAGUUAUGGAGGUCUUCGGAUCGUAAAGCUCUGUUAUUAGGGAAGAACAUAUUUGUAAGUAACUGUGCACAGCUUGACGGUACCUAAUCAGAAAGCCACGGCUAACUACGUG